AUGGGCGGCGGCGGCUGCCACUGCGGCUCUUACCUAGUAUCCAAAAGGAAGGACGGCAAACUAAAUACGCCACAAAAGGAGAUAAUAAUGGACAAAAUCUCUAAGAUAGGGCCCGAAUUACCUUUGCUCGUGCUGAAGAUGACAAAAAAUGGUAUACUGAAUCCAAACCUGCAUAUCUGCGACGCAUAUGUUUCGAGGUGUCUCCAGUAUUUCAUCGACGCAUAUGUUUCGAGGCGUCUCCCGCACGAACAAGAGGGCGACCAAAUAAUACCUCUCCCGCACGAACAAGAGGGCGACCAAAUGAUACCUCUCAAAGUUUUGCUAGAAGGGAGCAUAUAUCAAAAAGACUGGAAGCAAUUGAUCAAAGAUGCCGGGAUGGAGGCGGGAGACAUCUGCCUCUUCCAAGUUGUAGACAGGGGCAGCAGCGAGCUCACGAUGAUGGUCCAUAUGAUCCGCACGUCGGAAAUGCUGGAAAGCACCAUCGUCGAGGCCAGCGAGCCUCGCGCGGAGGAGACACGCUUGGCCCGGCGGGAGGAUACGUCGGCAAGCCUCGCGCUGAGCCCUCCGGAGGGAGCGACAGCGACAGCCGCCCCCAUCUGCAUGUGA
Molecule: ribosomal RNA, 606 nt
Filed under: Triticum aestivum (bread wheat)
Lineage: Eukaryota; Viridiplantae; Streptophyta; Magnoliopsida; Poales; Poaceae
Description: partial small subunit ribosomal RNA
Source: RNAcentral